AGAGUUUGAUUCUGGCUCAGGAUGAACGCUAGCUACAGGCUUAACACAUGCAAGUCGAGGGGCAGCAUUGGAGUAGCAAUACUUCAGAUGGCGACCGGCGCACGGGUGAGUAACACGUAUCCAACCUGCCGCUUACUCGGGGAUAGCCUUUCGAAAGAAAGAUUAAUACCCGAUGGUAUAAAAAAGUUCGCAUGUUCUCUUUAUUAAAGAAUUUUGGUAAGCGAUGGGGAUGCGUUCCAUUAGAUUGUUGGCGGGGUAACGGCCCACCAAGUCUACGAUGGAUAGGGGUUCUGAGAGGAAGGUCCCCCACAUUGGAACUGAGACACGGUCCAAACUCCUACGGGAGGCAGCAGUGAGGAAUAUUGGUCAAUGGACGAGAGUCUGAACCAGCCAAAGUAGCGUGAAGGAUGACUGCCCUAUGGGUUGUAAACUUCUUUUAUAAGGGAAUAAAGUGAGGGACGUGUCCCUUUUUGUAUGUACCUUAUGAAUAAGGAUCGGCUAACUCCGUGCCAGCCGCCGC
This 520-nucleotide ribosomal RNA is filed under the name uncultured bacterium. RNAcentral describes it as "bacterial SSU rRNA". It matches the Rfam family "Bacterial small subunit ribosomal RNA", at positions 8 to 518 of the family's 1533-position model. The record is from RNAcentral.